This 440-nucleotide ribosomal RNA is filed under the name uncultured bacterium. Its description in RNAcentral is "partial 16S ribosomal RNA". It matches the Rfam family "Bacterial small subunit ribosomal RNA", at positions 338 to 795 of the family's 1533-position model. The record is from RNAcentral.
CCUACGGGUGGCAGCAGUGGGGAAUAUUGGACAAUGGGCGCAACCCUGAUCCAGCGAAGCCGCGUGAGUGAAGAAGGAUUUCGGGAUGUAAAGCUCUAUCAGCAGGGAAGAAAAUGACGGUACCUGACUAAGAAGCCCCGGCUAACAACGUGCAAGCAGCCGCGGUAAUACGUAGGGGGCAAGCGUUAUCCGGAUUUACUGGGUGUAAAGGGAGCGUAGACGGUGCAGCAAGUCUGAUGUGAAAGUUUGGGGCCCAACCCCAGGACUGCAAUGGAUACUGUUGAACUUGAGUACAGGAGAGGUAGGCGGAAUUCGUAGUGUAGCGGUGAAAUGCGUAGAUAUUAGGAAGAACACCAGUGGCGAAGGCAGCUUACUGGACUGUAACUGACGUUGAGGCUCGAAAGUGUGGGGAGCAAACAGGAUUAGAUACCCUAGUAGUC